This 250-nucleotide ribosomal RNA is filed under the name uncultured bacterium. RNAcentral describes it as "partial 16S ribosomal RNA". It matches the Rfam family "Bacterial small subunit ribosomal RNA", at positions 959 to 1210 of the family's 1533-position model. The record is from RNAcentral.
ACGCGUGGAACCUUACCAAGGCUUGACAUACACCGGAAACUUCCAGAGAUGGUUGCCCCGCAAGGUCGGUGUACAGGUGGUGCAUGGUUGUCGUCAGCUCGUGUCGUGAGAUGUUGGGUUAAGUCCCGCAACGAGCGCAACCCUCGUCCUAUGUUGCCAGCGGGGUUAUGCCGGGGACUCAUAGGAGACUGCCGGGGUCAACUCGGAGGAAGGUGGGGAUGACGUCAAAUCAUCAUGCCCCUUAUGUCUU